UACGGGGGGAGCAAGCGUUGUUCGGAUUUACUGGGCAUAAAGAGCGCGUAGGCGGUCUGACAAGUCCCCUGUGAAAGCCCCCGGCUUAACCGGGGAACUGCAUGGGAUACUGUUGGGCUAGAGUGCAGGAGGGGAGAGCGGAAUUCCUGGUGGAGCGGUGAAAUGCGUAGAUAUCAGGAGGAACGCCGGCGGCGAAAGCGACUCUCUGGCCUGUAACUGACGCUGAGGCGCGAAAGCUAGGGGAGCAAACGGG
Molecule: ribosomal RNA, 253 nt
Filed under: uncultured bacterium
Lineage: Bacteria
Description: partial 16S ribosomal RNA
Rfam family: Bacterial small subunit ribosomal RNA
Source: RNAcentral